Molecule: ribosomal RNA, 510 nt
Filed under: uncultured bacterium
Lineage: Bacteria
Description: partial 16S ribosomal RNA
Rfam family: Bacterial small subunit ribosomal RNA
Source: RNAcentral
GACGAACGCUGGCGGCGUGCUUAACACAUGCAAGUCGAACGAAGAGCGAUGGAAGCUUGCUUCUAUCAAUCUUAGUGGCGAACGGGUGAGUAACGCGUAAUCAACCUGCCCUUCAGAGGGGGACAACAGUUGGAAACGACUGCUAAUGCCGCAUACGAUCUGACCUCGGCAUCGAGGAUAGAUGAAAGGUGGCCGCUAUUUAUAAGCUAUCACUGAAGGAGGUGAUUGGGGCUGAUUAGCUAGUUGGAUGGGUAACGGCCCACCAAUGCGAUGAUCAGUAGCCGGUCUGAGAGGAUGAACGGCCACAUUGGGACUGAGACACGGCCCAGACUCCUACGGGAGGCAGCAGUGGGGAAUCUUCCGCAAUGGACGAAAGUCUGACGGAGCAACGCCGCGUGAGUGAUGACGGCCUUCGGGUUGUAAAGCUCUGUUAAUCGGGACGAAAGGCCUUCUUGCGAAUAGUUAGAAGGAUUGACGGUACUGGAAUAGAAAGCCACGGCUAACUACGUG